RNAcentral lists this ribosomal RNA (766 nucleotides) under Candidatus Poseidoniales archaeon. Its description in RNAcentral is "bacterial SSU rRNA". It matches the Rfam family "Archaeal small subunit ribosomal RNA", at positions 1 to 770 of the family's 1478-position model. The record is from RNAcentral. Lineage: Archaea; Methanobacteriati; Thermoplasmatota; Candidatus Poseidoniia; Candidatus Poseidoniales.
AAAUCCGGUUGAUCCUGCCGGAGGCUACCGCUAUUGGAGUUCGAUUAAGCCAUGCGAGUCGCGAGAAAUUAGAUUCUCGGCGUACCGCUCAGUAACACGUGGGUAACCUGCCCUAUGCUGGAUAAUAACCUCGGGAAACUGAGAAUAAUGAUCCAUAGUUCACUACGCCUGGAACGGUGAGUGGAUGAAAGCUCCGGCGGCAUAGGAUGGGCCUGCGGCGUAUCAGGUUGUAGGGGGUGUAACGUACCCUCUAGCCCUCUACGCGUACGGGUGUUGGGAGACAUAGCCCGGAGAUGGAUUCUGAGACACGAAUCCAGACCCUACGGGGUGCAGCAGGCGCGAAAACUUGGCAAUGCGAGAAAUCGUGACCAGGGAACUCCAAGUGCAUCGGGUAAGACCGGUGCUUUUCUUGACUCUAAAUAGGUCUUGGAAUAAGGGGUGGGUAAGGACGGUGCCAGCCGCCGCGGUAAUACCGGCGCCUCAAGUGGUAGUCGCUUUUAUUGGGCCUAAAACGUCCGUAGCCGGUCUGAUACAUUCGUGGGUAAAUCAACCAGCUCAACUGGUUGAAUUCUGCGAGGACGGUCAGACUUGGGACCGGGAGAGGUGUGGGGUACGCUCAGGGUAGGGGUAAAAUCCUGUCAUCCUGAGCGGACCACCUGUUGCGAAGGCGCCACACUAGAACGGAUCCGACGGUCAGGGACGAAGCCUAGGGGCACGAACCGGAUUAGAUACCCGGGUAGUCCUAGGUGUAAACGCUGUGGACUUG